This 240-nucleotide ribosomal RNA is filed under the name Streptomyces parvus. RNAcentral's name for it is "partial 23S ribosomal RNA". It matches the Rfam family "Bacterial large subunit ribosomal RNA", at positions 2692 to 2925 of the family's 2925-position model. Lineage: Bacteria; Bacillati; Actinomycetota; Actinomycetes; Kitasatosporales; Streptomycetaceae. The record is from RNAcentral.
CCGGGACGGACGAACCUCUGGUGUGCCAGUUGUCCUGCCAAGGGCAUGGCUGGUUGGCUACGUUCGGAAAGGAUAACCGCUGAAAGCAUCUAAGCGGGAAGCCUGCUUCGAGAUGAGUAUUCCCACCAACUUGAUUGGUUAAGGCUCCCAGUAGACGACUGGGUUGAUAGGCCAGAUGUGGAAGCCCGGUAACGGGUGGAGCUGACUGGUACUAAUAGGCCGAGGGCUUGUCCUCAGUUG